Molecule: ribosomal RNA, 463 nt
Filed under: uncultured bacterium
Lineage: Bacteria
Description: partial 16S ribosomal RNA
Rfam family: Bacterial small subunit ribosomal RNA
Source: RNAcentral
GAUGAACGCUGACAGAAUGCUUAACACAUGCAAGUCGAUGGGGAAGUGGCGCUUGCAGCAUGGUAACCAUGGCGGAAGGGUGAGUAACGCGUAAGGAACUUGCCUGCGGGACUGGGGUAACAGCAGGAAACUGCUGAUAAUACAGGAGAAGGUCAUUAAGCUGCAUAGCUUAGUGAUGAAAGGAGACGCCUGCUGAGAGCCUUGCGUCGUAUUAGCUAGUUGGAGGGGUGACGGCGCACCAAGGCGGAGAUAGGUAGCCGGCCUGAGAGGGUGGACGGCCACAGGGGGACUGAGAUACCGCCCUUACUCCUACGGGAGGCAGCAGUGGGGAAUAUUGGACAAUGGGGGCAACCCUGAUCCAGCAAUUCUGUGUGCACGAAGACGGUUUUCGGAUUGUAAAGUGUUUUCAGCAGGGAAGAAGGGAGUGACGGUACCUGCAGAAGAAGCGACGGCUAAAUACGUG